Molecule: non-coding RNA, 29 nt
Filed under: Rattus norvegicus (Norway rat)
Lineage: Eukaryota; Metazoa; Chordata; Mammalia; Rodentia; Muridae
Source: RNAcentral
UGUUAAAUAGUUCUAAUGGUUUUCAUGGU